Molecule: ribosomal RNA, 468 nt
Filed under: uncultured bacterium
Lineage: Bacteria
Description: partial 16S ribosomal RNA
Rfam family: Bacterial small subunit ribosomal RNA
Source: RNAcentral
GACGAACGCUGGCGGCGUGCUUAACACAUGCAAGUCGAACGGUAAGGCCCUGCUCUUGUUGGGUGCUCGAGUGGCGCACGGGGGUGUAACACGUGUGUAACCUGCCCUUGACACUGGGAUAACUGCAGGAAACUCGGGCUAAUACAGCGUAGGAGCUCCUGCUGCAUGGUGGGGGUUGGAAAGAUUCGGCGGUUGGGGAUGGACUCGCGGCUUAUCAGCUUGUUGGUGGGGUAGUGGCUUACCAAGGCUCUGACGGGUAGCCGGCCUGAGAGGGUGACCGGCCACAUUGGGACUGAGAUACGGCCCAGACUCCUACGGGAGGCAGCAGUGGGGAAUAUUGCACAAUGGGCGGAAGCCUGAUGCAGCAACGCCGCGUGCGGGAUGACGGCCUUCGGGUUGUAAACCGCUUUCGCCUGUGACGAAGCGUGAGUGACGGUAAUGGGUAAAGAAGCACCGGCUAACUACGUG